GAUGAACGCUAGCUACAGGCUUAACACAUGCAAGUCGAGGGGUAACGAGAGGAAAGCUUGCUUUCCUUGUCGACGACCGGCGCACGGGUGAGUAACGCGUAUCCAACCUGCCCCCAACUAGGGAAUAACCUUGCGAAAGUAAGACUAAUACCCUAUAAUUUCCUCAGAUGUCAUCUGACGAGGAAUAAAGAUUUAUCGGUUGUGGAUGGGGAUGCGUCUGAUUAGCUUGUUGGCGGGGUAACGGCCCACCAAGGCAACGAUCAGUAGGGUUUCAGAGAGGGAGGGCCCCCACAUUGGAACUGAGACACGGUCCAAACGCCUACGGGAGGCAGCAGUGAGGAAUAUUGGUCAAUGGGCGGAAGCCUGAACCAGCCAAGUAGCGUGCAGGAUGACGGCCCUAUGGGUUGUAAACUGCUUUUAUACAGGAAUAAAGUUAGCCACGUGUGGUUAUUUGUAGGUACUGUAUGAAUAAGGACCGGCUAAUUCCGUGCCAGCCGCCGCUGUAA
This 506-nucleotide ribosomal RNA is filed under the name uncultured bacterium. RNAcentral describes it as "partial 16S ribosomal RNA". It matches the Rfam family "Bacterial small subunit ribosomal RNA", at positions 28 to 523 of the family's 1533-position model. The record is from RNAcentral.